CGCGGGCGGCUCGGGGCGGCGGGGACGCGCCCUCCCGGGCCCCAUUCAAACGCUGCCAAGGUCUAAUUGAUGAGAAAUGUCCCCAGCAGGUGGGGACGUCUCCUAAGUGUCAACACUGAGCAUGGGCAGACAAUCCAAGUGUCCCUGAGAUGCUGAUCUUCUGGAAGAUGGAGGCAAAGAAUGCAAUGGAAAGGAAGAGGGACGUCUGCCAUUUCAGGACAAACUAAGAGAGGCCUCAGCAAGGACAUGACAUUUGAGGCUCAUCCCCCACCCUUCACCUGGCCCCCCCACAGCUCCUCCAUCAGUUCCUGGGAAGCACUGCCUUGCUUGGCUCACCCCUCCACCAAGGAUCCACUUCAGUUCUGACUCCCAACAGAAGAGCGUGCUCCUGGGUCAGCAUUCUCUGGGGUCCAUGGAGCGGGGUGCAGAGACCAACAAGGGCAAAGGUGAACCAAGCCUGGUGACCUGAGCAGG
Mastomys coucha (southern multimammate mouse) is the source of this 474-nucleotide long non-coding RNA. RefSeq lists it as uncharacterized. The transcript has 3 exons. The record is from RefSeq and is a predicted model, not a curated record. NCBI's taxonomy places the organism in Eukaryota, Metazoa, Chordata, Mammalia, Rodentia, Muridae.